This 468-nucleotide ribosomal RNA is filed under the name uncultured bacterium. RNAcentral describes it as "partial 16S ribosomal RNA". It matches the Rfam family "Bacterial small subunit ribosomal RNA", at positions 28 to 507 of the family's 1533-position model. The record is from RNAcentral.
GACGAACGCUGGCGGCGUGCUUAACACAUGCAAGUCGAACGGAAAGGCCUUGCUUUCGUGGGGUGCUCGAGUGGCGAAGGGGUGUGUAACACGUGUGACACCUGCCUUUGACUUUGGUAUAACUUCAGGAAACUGUGGCUUAUACCGUACAGGCACUCCCGCUGCAUGGUGUGGGUUGGAAAGUUUCGGUGGUGGGGGAUGGUCUCGCGGCUUAUCAGCUUGUUGGUGGGGUAGUGGCUUACCAAGGCUGUGACGGGUAGCCGGCCUGAGAGGGUGACCGGCCACAUUGGGACUGAGAUACGGCCCAGACUCCUACGGGAGGCAGCAGUGGGGAAUAUUGCACAAUGGGCGGAAGCCUGAUGCAGCAACGCCGCGUGCGGGAUGACGGCCUUCGGGUUGUAAACCGCUUUCAGCAGGGAAGAAGAGAAAGUGACGGUAAUUGGUGAGAAAGCGCCGGCUAACUACGUG